Molecule: long non-coding RNA, 925 nt
Organism: Ictalurus punctatus (channel catfish)
Lineage: Eukaryota; Metazoa; Chordata; Actinopteri; Siluriformes; Ictaluridae
Exons: 2
Source: RefSeq, a predicted model, not a curated record
AUGGUCCAGAUGGCGACUAAAAUGGUCGCCAGUGCGACUAACUUUUUAAUUUUGCGACCAUGUUUUUUUCUGCCAGUCGCCAGUGGCCACCGUUACCCACAAACAAAAUGUAAAAACAAAUGAAUAGAAAUGAGCAUCCGUCUUGUUGUGUUAGGCCACUGAACGCUCAUCUCCUACUGCGCAUGCGUCGACCUGCCCUAUCGCGUGCACUCCUGUAUGGCUUCCAAUAAAGAAACUCUGCACUCUUGUAUUGCGGUGGUCGAAGCGUCGGCUGUAUAGAUGAACAGAAACAGCUUAAACGUCACGUUUAUCGGGUUUAAAAAGUUGGAAGUGUUAACUUUAUUAAAGGUGUUUCAUUUAGUUUGAUGUGGUUUAGUUCGUUGGAAUUUGAAUUGAUCCGUCAUAUGUAGGCUAGUUAACUGCAUAGCUAACUAACGUUAGCCAGCUGAGAAGAAAACGAAAUGCGCAAACGAAAAAUAUCACUUUUUCUCAUUCCAAACCCUGCCUCCUCUACACCAGAUGCUGACGAUGUUGAGACCAACUCGACCAGUGACAGUUCUCAAGUGACAUUUGAGUCAUCCUGGCCCGUUUCAGUCGGUGUGCAAUCUUUUACACCUCGUCUGGUUAUGACAAUGGGAAAAUGUACUGCACCUUUUGUGCUAAAGUAGGACAAGAUAUUGCUUUUAAAACAGAGUUCAUUACCGGUUCGAGUCAUUUUAAUCACACAGGUUCUGAAGAAGAUUUAAUCAAGGGCAUGACUGUCGGAGUCAUUACAGUUCUGGAUGAUGUGAUGAACCCUAUUCCGUGUGACUGCAGUGAUGUAGCCCUUGUCCCAAACAUGACACAUGGGUUACAAUUUUAUGUCGAAAAUGUGUUUUGAAAAUGAGGACACAAGUGGUGUUUCCUUGUAUUUGUCAAACCCCCC